UCCCUGUUGCCAGGGCAGUCUAGCUAGAAAAAUUCAACUAACUAUAAGGGUUGCGCUCGUUGAUGGACUUAACCAAACAUCUCACGACACGAGCUGACGACGGCCAUGCAUCACCUGUCACUGCGGCCCGAAGGCACAGCUUCCUUUCGGAAGCCUUGGCAGGAUGUCAAGCCUGGGUAAGGUUCUUCGCUUAUCGUCGAAUUAAACAACACGCUCCACCGCUUGUGCGGGUCCCCGUCAAUUCCUUUAUGUUUUAAGCUUGCGCUCGUACUCCACAGGCGGGAUGCUUAACGCGUUAGCUUCGCUACUACAAGGGUCGAUACUCAUAACAGCUAGCAUCCAUCGUUUACGGCGUGGACUAC
RNAcentral lists this unclassified non-coding RNA (362 nucleotides) under uncultured bacterium. RNAcentral describes it as "contains 16S-23S intergenic spacer region". The record is from RNAcentral.